RNAcentral lists this ribosomal RNA (387 nucleotides) under uncultured bacterium. RNAcentral's name for it is "bacterial SSU rRNA". It matches the Rfam family "Bacterial small subunit ribosomal RNA", at positions 30 to 416 of the family's 1533-position model. The record is from RNAcentral.
AUUGAACGCUGGCGGCAUGCUUUACACAUGCAAGUCGAACGGUAACAGGGAGCUUGCUCCGCUGACGAGUGGCGAACGGGUGAGUAAUGCAUCGGAACAUGCCCAGUCAUGGGGGAUAACUACGCGAAAGCGUAGCUAAUACCGCAUACGCCCUGAGGGGGGAAAGUGGGGGAUCUUAGGACCUCACGUGAUUGGAGUGGCCGAUGUCAGAUUAGCUAGUUGGUGAGGUAAAAGCCUACCAAGCCUUCGAUCUGUAGCUGGUCUGAGAGGACGACCAGCCACACUGGAACUGAGACACGGUCCAGACUCCUACGGGAGGCAGCAGUGGGGAAUUUUGGACAAUGGGCGCAAGCCUGAUCCAGCAAUGCCGCGUGCAGGAUGAAGGCC